Cyprinus carpio (common carp) is the source of this 1450-nucleotide long non-coding RNA. RefSeq lists it as uncharacterized. The record is from RefSeq and is a predicted model, not a curated record. NCBI's taxonomy places the organism in Eukaryota, Metazoa, Chordata, Actinopteri, Cypriniformes, Cyprinidae. The transcript is spliced from 2 exons.
AAGCGAUUCAUACAGAAGGGGACCAGGCAACAUCCAGCCAGACACCUGUCCCAGAAACAACAGAAUGACAAAUUAAAUGUCUACUCGGAUACUGUAGAAAUAAACAUCCAUUUUUAAACCAGAGACAGGAGAAGUUGUUUCUGUAGAAGACACUGGGAGAAUGUAGAGUCCUUGAAUUGGCGCAUGGAUUGGAUCUGUCACAAAGAGUAUAUCAUACAAGAUUAAUUAGAUACAUUUGCAUACUUCUUACUAAAGAUGUUCCAUAAAAGCCACAGUGUUGCAAAACAAUGCGUUUUGUGUACUCAAUCAAAUCAAGAGAUAAGUUAAAACUUUUUAUCAAGAGACAUUUUUUUAUUUUAAUUACAAUAAAUGACAUUUUAAUUAAGAACUUUUAUUUUAAUUUAAUGUUUUGUUUUUAAUUAAAUCAUUGAAAUUAUAAUUUAUUAAAUUAUAUUUAAUAUUUAUAUGAUAUGUAAAAAUCAUGGGAUGUAUUUUCAGGACAGGUUCACAUAAAAAAUUUACUGGAAUGAAAUUGUACAAAAAAAAAAAGAAAAACCCCCGUAGAAAUGUAAUUGACUAAAUGCUUAGUAUGUAGCAUUUUGUAGUAUUGCAAUAAAUGUAAUUUAAGUCAUUUAAUAUAUUUAGAAAACUUUGUUUCUGCCUUUGUUGCGCUCUCUCUCUCACUCUCUCUCUCUCUCUCUCUCUCUGUGUGUGUGUGUGUGUGUGUGUCAUUAAAUUUAUAAUCUAGACAUGCCUUUGUCUGUGGACUGUGUUGUCAAACUUUGGCUUUUUUUCUGAAUAAGAUCAUUCUCUUUUUGCUCCAAGAACUUCAACUCCUCUUCUAUUCUGUCCAGUUCUGAAGGGCCCUCUUCAUUUGCAAGGUAUUCUAAAACAAGACAAACAAACAAAAUAUGUAAAACAACCAAUUCAUUGUUUGUACUAACUAGUCAAAUGUAAGCGUGCAGAAUGAUUACAGCCAAGGGUGGACUCAUUGCAAUUUGAAUGGCCAUUUCCUGGUACAGUAGCCAGCUCCUUUUGUAUUAAGAGAGAAAGGGUAAUUAUAUUACAUAGUUUGCAUGUUUUAUUGUGCAGUAAAAUAAUCAAAUGUUGUUCUUGCCCUUAAGUCUGUAGGGCCGACUGAAUGUAACAUCAUUUCCUGGGGCAAGUUUUGUAAGUCUUAACAACUAGUCUGACCAGUUAGCAGUUACUAAAGGGAAACGAGUAGUAUUUUUCAGAUUUAAAUAAGACUAACAACAACAACUACAACAACAAAAAACAUUUUAUUCAACCAGCCACAAUAAUGUUUCCAUUGAUCAAACUAAUUAAAGACACGCUAUUUAUUUACUUACUUAUUUUCACUUUUUUACAUUUAUAUUGAUAUAUGAGUGUUAUUCAGAGUCUUUUUUUUACCUUCUAUUCUGUUGUUCUUCUUUUGGAUCUCCUGUAGAAA